GCAAGCCUUGGAACAAGGUAACUGAGUACCUUGGCAACUGCGAGUUCAAGUUCAUGGACCUUCAAAUGAAUGCUUCCCCAAUAAUGAGAUUCAGCCAACAUUUGGCUCAGUCUCUCUAUAUUUUACUUCAAAAUGAGGAGAAAGAAAGGACUUAGUAAACGGAGAGAGGGAGGAAGAGACAGAGGAAGGGAGGAAUGACGGUAAACCUGAGGAGUGAACUCAGAAGGUCAACAACUUCCUGAAGGUCAUUCAGCUAGCCGGGCGCGGUGACUCAUGCGUGUAAUCCCAGCGCUUUGGAAGACCGAGGCGGGCGGAUCAUGAUGUCAAGAGAUCGAGACCAUCCUGGUUAACAUGGUGAAACCCCAUCUCCACUAAAAAUACAAACAUUAGCUGGGCGUGGUGCCACCCGCUUGUAGUCCCAGCUACUCUGGAGGCUGAGGCAGGAGAAUCGCUUGAACCCAGGAGGUGGAGGUUGCAGUGAGCUGAGAUCGUGCCACUGCACUCCAGCCUGCGUGACAGAGCAAGACUCCAUCUCAAAACAAACAAACAAACAGCAAAAAAAAAAAACUUUCCAUCUCCAAUACUAUCACAGGCAUUUUAUGGAGUCCUCGGUACAUGCACUUUCCUACCUCUCUUCCCUCGAAUCAGCCCAGCUUAGUUACACAAUGCUCACCACUCAAAUUAACCAAUGCUCACCACUUAAAUUAACCAAAUAAACCAGGAAGCCUCUCACAA
This is a long non-coding RNA of Pan troglodytes (chimpanzee), 735 nucleotides long. RefSeq lists it as uncharacterized. The record is from RefSeq and is a predicted model, not a curated record. The transcript has 3 exons. Lineage: Eukaryota; Metazoa; Chordata; Mammalia; Primates; Hominidae.